Molecule: ribosomal RNA, 497 nt
Filed under: uncultured bacterium
Lineage: Bacteria
Description: partial 16S ribosomal RNA
Rfam family: Bacterial small subunit ribosomal RNA
Source: RNAcentral
GAUGAACGCUGGCGGCGUGCCUAAUACAUGCAAGUCGAGCGAACGGACGAGAAGCUUGCUUCUCUGAUGUUAGCGGCGGACGGGUGAGUAACACGUGGAUAACCUACCUAUAAGACUGGGAUAACUUCGGGAAACCGGAGCUAAUACCGGAUGAUAUUUUGAACCGCAUGGUUCAAAAGUGAAAGACGGUCUUGCUGUCACUUAUAGAUGGAUCCGCGCUGCAUUAGCUAGUUGGUAAGGUAACGGCUUACCAAGGCAACGAUGCAUAGCCGACCUGAGAGGGUGAUAGGCGACACUGGAACUGAGACGCGGUCCAGGGUCCUACGGGAGGCAGCAGUAGGGAAUCGUCCGCAAUGGGCGAAAGCCUGACGGAGCAGCGCGGCGUGAGUGAUGAAGGUCUUCGGAUCGUAAAACUCUGUUAUUAGGGAAGAACAUAUGUGUAAGUAAAUGUGCACAGCUUGACGGUAACUAAUCAGAAAGCCACGGCUAACUACGUG